GUGGUAGAGGGCUGACAGCAGAGGUGUCUGUCUGAACUGAUAAAUAUCUGUGGGUUAGGGUGGUAGAGGGCUGACAGCAGAGGUGUCUGUCUGAACUGAUAAAUAUCUCUGGGUUAGGGUGGUAGAGGGCUGACAGCAGAGGUGUCUGUCUGAACUGAUACAUAUCUCUGGGUUAGGGUGGUAGAGGGCUGACAGCAGAGGUGUCUGUCUGAACUGAUAAAUAUCUGUGGGUUAGGGUGGUAGAGGGCUGACAGCAGAGGUGUCUGUCUGAACUGAUAAAUAUCUCUGGGUUAGGGUGGUAGAGGGCUGACAGCAAAGGUGUCUGUCUGAACUGAUUAAUAUCUGUGGGUUAGGGUGGUAGAGGGCUGACAACAGAGGUGUCUGUCUGGAUUUUUAACAGUCCUUUACCGGCCUGGACUCUUUUAGGCCCGAGGUACAGGACAUUUCUGGAGGAACCAGAACUCAUUGUGUUAUAUUGUUAUGUGUGUGUGAUCAUUUGUUGGUAAUACAACCCACGCAAAAUAAUAUCGUUUUUGAAGUUCUUUCCAAUGUUUUAAGGGUUUAUGAAAAGUUUAUUUCCAUCCUGACUUUUACAUAUAAGUCCUUUUGUAUUGGUGUAGACUUGACGGACCAGAUGGGACUCAUUCCCUCCCAAACCAAAAGGAGAAACCAAUGUUUU
Oncorhynchus tshawytscha (Chinook salmon) is the source of this 679-nucleotide long non-coding RNA. The record is from Ensembl. Lineage: Eukaryota; Metazoa; Chordata; Actinopteri; Salmoniformes; Salmonidae.